RNAcentral lists this ribosomal RNA (492 nucleotides) under uncultured bacterium. Its description in RNAcentral is "partial 16S ribosomal RNA". It matches the Rfam family "Bacterial small subunit ribosomal RNA", at positions 29 to 507 of the family's 1533-position model. The record is from RNAcentral.
AGUGAACGCUGGCGGUAGGCCUAACACAUGCAAGUCGAACGGCAGCACAGUAAGAGCUUGCUCUUACGGGUGGCGAGUGGCGGACGGGUGAGGAAUACAUCGGAAUCUACUUUUUCGUGGGGGAUAACGUAGGGAAACUUACGCUAAUACCGCAUACGACCUACGGGUGAAAGCAGGGGAUCUUCGGACCUUGCGCGAUUGAAUGAGCCGAUGUCGGAUUAGCUAGUUGGCGGGGUAAAGGCCCACCAAGGCGACGAUCCGUAGCUGGUCUGAGAGGAUGAUCAGCCAAACUGGAACUGAGACACGGUCCAGACUCCUACGGGAGGCAGCAGUGGGGAAUAUUGGACAAUGGGCGCAAGCCGGAUCCAGCCAUACCGCGUGGGUGAAGAAGGCCUUCGGGUUGUAAAGCCCUUUUGUUGGGAAAGAAAAGCAGCAGGUUAAUACCCCGCUGUUCUGACGGUACCCAAAGAAUAAGCACCGGCUAACUUCGUG